AUUGAACGCUGGCGGCAGGCCUAACACAUGCAAGUCGGACGGUAGCACAGAGGAGCUUGCUCCUCGGGUGACGAGUGGCGGACGGGUGAGUAAUGUCUGGGGAUCUGCCCGAUAGAGGGGGAUAACCACUGGAAACGGUGGCUAAUACCGCAUAACGUCGCAAGACCAAAGAGGGGGACCUUCGGGCCUCUCACUAUCGGAUGAACCCAGAUGGGAUUAGCUAGUAGGCGGGGUAACGGCCCACCUAGGCGACGAUCCCUAGCUGGUCUGAGAGGAUGACCAGCCACACUGGAACUGAGACACGGUCCAGACUCCUACGGGAGGCAGCAGUGGGGAAUGUUGCACAAUGGGCGCAAGCCUGAUGCAGCCAUGCCGCGUGUAUGAAGAAGGCCUUCGGGUUGUAAAGUACUUUCAGCGGGGAGGAAGGCGAUGUGGUUAAUAACCGCGUCGAUUGACGUUACCCGCAGAAGAAGCACCGGCUAACUCCGUGCCAGCAGCCGCUGUAA
This 506-nucleotide ribosomal RNA is filed under the name uncultured bacterium. Its description in RNAcentral is "partial 16S ribosomal RNA". It matches the Rfam family "Bacterial small subunit ribosomal RNA", at positions 29 to 523 of the family's 1533-position model. The record is from RNAcentral.